UCCCUGGGGGUCCAGCGGUUAGGACUCUGCACUUCCACUGCCAAGAGCCCAGGUUCAAUACCUGGUCAAGGAA
This 73-nucleotide transfer RNA is filed under the name Capra hircus (goat). It matches the Rfam family "tRNA". Rfam says of the family: Transfer RNA (tRNA) molecules are approximately 80 nucleotides in length. Lineage: Eukaryota; Metazoa; Chordata; Mammalia; Artiodactyla; Bovidae. The record is from Rfam by way of RNAcentral. RNAcentral also lists the same sequence under 1 other name.